This 179-nucleotide ribosomal RNA is filed under the name uncultured bacterium. RNAcentral describes it as "partial 16S ribosomal RNA". It matches the Rfam family "Bacterial small subunit ribosomal RNA", at positions 1313 to 1500 of the family's 1533-position model. The record is from RNAcentral.
CGACUCCAUGAAGCUGGAUUCGCUGUAAUCGCGCAUCAGCCACGGCGCGGUGAAUACGUUCCCGGGCCUUGUACACACCGCCCGUCAAGCCAUGGAAGCCGGGGGUGCCUGAAGUGCGCUGCCGCAAGGAGCGUCCUAGGGUAAAACCGGUGACUGGGGCUAAGUCGUAACAAGGUAAC